UAUGCCUCUCCUAAAGACUAAGCCAUGCAUGCCUUCGAAUACGAGGAAGCAAUUCUCUCUGAAUCUGCGAACGGCUCCGCAAACCAGUUGUAAACCAAAGCAAGCAUAUCCGUGGUCCGUCCUUCACGGGGUGGGCUGCGGAUGAUACGGAUAACCCUGGUAAUUCUGAGGCUAAUACGAGACUGUAAUCCCUGGCUGACCGGGCAACUGGGACGCUGGGGGGUGUGUAUCUAUAUGCAAGACGAUUCCAGGAAGGGGUGCACGCUCUGACCGCGAUAAAAGCAGUUCCGUCGAUCCCUUGGGAGAAGCGGUUCUGAGCGGCUCUUGCGCUGUGCUUCUGACCUAUCAACUAGAUGGCAGCGUAACGGACAUGCCAUGGUUACAACGGGUACAGAGGAUUAGGGUUCGAUCCUGGAGAGUGGGCCUGAGAGAUUGCUCAUACUUCUAAGGAAGGCAGCAGGCGCGCAACGUUCCCCUUGGGCAAUGCCCGAGGGCGUUAGGGGACAUAUGAAUGGUUGCCUUUUAGGUGGCCAAUUCAAAUGGGUCUGUUCUAAACAGCCUCUCGAGUAACAAUUAGAGGA
RNAcentral lists this ribosomal RNA (581 nucleotides) under uncultured Diderma sp. RNAcentral's name for it is "bacterial SSU rRNA". It matches the Rfam family "Eukaryotic small subunit ribosomal RNA", at positions 27 to 555 of the family's 1831-position model. The record is from RNAcentral. Lineage: Eukaryota; Evosea; Eumycetozoa; Physariida; Didymiaceae.